GUCUUUGUGGUGUAGUGUUCAACACGCUCGGCGCGUAACCGAGAGAUCCGUGGUUCGAUUCCCGGCGAAGGCG
This is a non-coding RNA of Stegodyphus mimosarum, 73 nucleotides long. The record is from Rfam. NCBI's taxonomy places the organism in Eukaryota, Metazoa, Arthropoda, Arachnida, Araneae, Eresidae.